CCUACGGGAGGCAGCAGUGAGGAAUAUUGGUCAAUGGGCGGAAGCCUGAACCAGCCAAGUAGCGUGCGGGAUGAAGGCCCUACGGGUCGUAAACCGCUUUUGCACGGGGAUAACACCCUCCACUUGUGGAGGUCUGCAGGUACCGUGCGAAUAAGGGCCGGCUAAUUCCGUGCCAGCAGCCGCGGUAAUACGGAAGGCCCGAGCGUUAUCCGGAUUCAUUGGGCUUAAAGGGAGCGUAGGCGGGCGUUCAAGUCAGCUGUAAAAUCGCGCGGCUCAACCGCGCCCCGCAGUUGAAACUGGACGCAUUGAGUUCACAACAGGCAGGCGGAAUUCGUGGCGUAGCGGUGAAAUGCAUAGAUAUCACGAGGAACCCCGAUUGCGAAGGCAGCCUGCCGGGGUGCGACUGACGCUGAGGCUCGAAGGUGCGGGUAUCAAACAGGAUUAGAUACCCCAGUAGUC
This 459-nucleotide ribosomal RNA is filed under the name uncultured bacterium. Its description in RNAcentral is "partial 16S ribosomal RNA". It matches the Rfam family "Bacterial small subunit ribosomal RNA", at positions 338 to 795 of the family's 1533-position model. The record is from RNAcentral.